GUUAACAUACUCAAUCAUUUCCCAGUUUUCCGAUGAUUGGCUGUAUGCAGUCCUGCGACAAUGGCAAAACACAGAAAUCUGGUGUAUUUCAUCUACGUGAACCCUGGUGUUACGUUUCAUGGCACUUGGAAAUAAUGUGUUUUACAAAGGCUGGACAUGCAACUGAGUAUGUGUUCAUUGUGCGAGUUGUUUUUUUCUAAGGCUGUCAUAGAGUGAGACAUGUCCAGAAUCACCAAAGCCUUUUGCGACAAGCACCCAGUGAUCUUUACCAUUGUGUACUAGCUGAAGCCAUUGUUCUCCAGUUGCAACUGGGAACUCAAGAGCGCCUCCAAUGGUACAGCAAAACAACCCACCAAUGGUUGGGUGUUGCUGUUUAAGAAGAACUUGAGCGUAGUUAAUUUGUCCUGAAGUAAGCUGGCUAGUAUUUGUAAUUGGUUGAAGGUUCUCCAAAAACAGCAUGGGCUCAUCCACACCCUUUCGUCUACGUUUAACAGGCUCGUAUUCCUGCUUUGUCAAAGCAGGUUCCACGCAAAUAAUUGAAGAAUCGUUAGCGGGGAUGAUCGGUGUUGACGAUGGAUGGUUUACAUCCGCAAUAGAAGCGAUACGGUCAUCCGGAGCAUAAAAGUUGCCUUCUUCUUGUCGAAUGGCAUUUCCUUUCAACAGCACGGGGUCAUCACCACACUUUCGCAUACGUUUAACAGGCUCGUGUUCCUGCUUUGUUAAAGCAGGUUUCACGCAGAUCAUUGAAGAAUCGUUAGCGGGGCUGAUCGGUGGUGAUGAUGGAUGGUUCACAUCUGCAAUCGAAGCGAUACGGUCAUCAGCAGCAUAGAAGUUGUCUUCUUCUUGUCGAAUGGCAUUUUAUUCGUCCAAUAACUCUUUGGCCACUGAGCUGAUAGGCUCAACACGAGCUUUCUUCACUUGCUUGUGAAAAGAAUGAAAAUAACCUUUAUUUUCCUUCGGCCGCCCUCUUUUCUUCACUUCCACUGGAUGGUGGAGUGAUGACCAUUGAUGAGGCAAAGUCUGAUAAAAUCAAAAAUGAUUAAUCACCUAUAAGUUCCAAAUCAAAUUAAUUUUACCUUUUCCUCGAUUGUAGUAGUAGUAAACGGCUUUAGAGGAUCAGACGAAGCAUGGAUUUUCGGUUCAAUUUCGCCGGAAUCAACAGUACUACUUGAAGCCAGAUUAUUGCUUUGUGCAUCAUUCGCCUGAUGUACUAGCCUUACUGGCUUAUUCAUUUUGACCAAGUCGUGGAUGUUUAUGAAAAGCUGCAGUUUGUCCUGGAAAUCAGGUUCAGACAAAAUACUUAGUGUAUUGGCCAGUUUCUUGAAGAGAUCUGAAGCCAUGUUGUAUUGUUCCCUCUCCAUCUUUGGCAUUCUGUGUCUUUUAGACGUCUGUACCCUAGUAGGAGACGUAACGCUAGGCGUAACAAUUGCGUCGUCCUAAAAAAGUUAAGUAAUCAGAUCUUCUUUGUUAUUAUUUCUUUCGAAGAUAACUCAAGUUUUAUACUCUACCUCUAGGCACUGGUUUCUCCAAUGAUGCGAAAAGGCUCCUGCCGGGAUUUCUGUUUUCUCUUCGACGUGAAAGUGAAUAAUAUGGCGGCAAGGUAGCCCAAAUUGCAUGAAAAAAGAACAACUGCAACCGCUUAAGUCUACUUUCAACUUGCAAAAGGCGAUAUGGACCCAGCAAAUUUACUCACCGCUGGAUGUUUUUCCUGUACCGCAAAUCGUAGAUCUUGAAUCCUUUGCUUCAGUUGCCUGUCGCUUAGUCGGAUGAGGACAAUGUUGAUCAGGCCUUUAAGAACCUUAUGGAAUCUCCUUGACUUCUGGAAAACCUCCUUAAUAGUGUGAUGAAACCUGUUGUGACGAUUGGUGGUAUUCUUUUCCAACGUACACAGAUCACGACGGCCAAGGUUAGUCCACUUCUCCGCGAUAUCAAACCAAUUGUCCUCAAAAUAGGAUGCAAUGGUUCCGUUACCUACAGGUACGCCUUAUUAUCGUCAAAAACAGCUUCCGUUCCAGCGUACAUGUUUUCUUCAAAUGGCUAUCAACUGCCUUAAGAACGUGGAAUUGACAAAGGAUGUGCUUUGCAUCGGGAAAAUGCCGUUCUAAAGCGGAUAUCUCGGCGCAAUCCUUAUCGACAUGCGGAAAUGGCUUCCGUUGUCUCUUCUUUCAGGAAGAACAACGCCACUGGUUGUCCAGAGCCAUUGUUGUCUUCAAUAAGCAAGUGGUAAAGGGCAAAGCCUGCUUGUGUUGUCCUAUACGUCCCAUUCAGCUGGAGAACUUUUCCGUACUUUUCGUACAACUUGCGCUGCCUCUCCAUCUGAACGAAAAUAGCAGCAACCUCUCCAUCAGCAUCAUGGAGAACGUUGACGACAUUAUUUUCGUCUUUCUGGAGAACUUCAAGGAACUUCACAGUAUCCCUCCAUUCGUCUUCGGACUUCCCUGUAAUAAUAGUAAAUAAGGUAUACUGCAU
RNAcentral lists this long non-coding RNA (2469 nucleotides) under Daphnia magna. Its description in RNAcentral is "uncharacterized LOC123472189, transcript variant X2". Lineage: Eukaryota; Metazoa; Arthropoda; Branchiopoda; Diplostraca; Daphniidae. The record is from RNAcentral.